Molecule: ribosomal RNA, 1546 nt
Filed under: Staphylococcus aureus
Lineage: Bacteria; Bacillati; Bacillota; Bacilli; Caryophanales; Staphylococcaceae
Description: 16S ribosomal RNA
Rfam family: Bacterial small subunit ribosomal RNA
Source: RNAcentral
AGAGUUUGAUCCUGGCUCAGGAUGAACGCUGGCGGCGUGCCUAAUACAUGCAAGUCGAGCGAACGGACGAGAAGCUUGCUUCUCUGAUGUUAGCGGCGGACGGGUGAGUAACACGUGGAUAACCUACCUAUAAGACUGGGAUAACUUCGGGAAACCGGAGCUAAUACCGGAUAAUAUUUUGAACCGCAUGGUUCAAAAGUGAAAGACGGUCUUGCUGUCACUUAUAGAUGGAUCCGCGCUGCAUUAGCUAGUUGGUAAGGUAACGGCUUACCAAGGCAACGAUGCAUAGCCGACCUGAGAGGGUGAUCGGCCACACUGGAACUGAGACACGGUCCAGACUCCUACGGGAGGCAGCAGUAGGGAAUCUUCCGCAAUGGGCGAAAGCCUGACGGAGCAACGCCGCGUGAGUGAUGAAGGUCUUCGGAUCGUAAAACUCUGUUAUUAGGGAAGAACAUAUGUGUAAGUAACUGUGCACAUCUUGACGGUACCUAAUCAGAAAGCCACGGCUAACUACGUGCCAGCAGCCGCGGUAAUACGUAGGUGGCAAGCGUUAUCCGGAAUUAUUGGGCGUAAAGCGCGCGUAGGCGGUUUUUUAAGUCUGAUGUGAAAGCCCACGGCUCAACCGUGGAGGGUCAUUGGAAACUGGAAAACUUGAGUGCAGAAGAGGAAAGUGGAAUUCCAUGUGUAGCGGUGAAAUGCGCAGAGAUAUGGAGGAACACCAGUGGCGAAGGCGACUUUCUGGUCUGUAACUGACGCUGAUGUGCGAAAGCGUGGGGAUCAAACAGGAUUAGAUACCCUGGUAGUCCACGCCGUAAACGAUGAGUGCUAAGUGUUAGGGGGUUUCCGCCCCUUAGUGCUGCAGCUAACGCAUUAAGCACUCCGCCUGGGGAGUACGACCGCAAGGUUGAAACUCAAAGGAAUUGACGGGGACCCGCACAAGCGGUGGAGCAUGUGGUUUAAUUCGAAGCAACGCGAAGAACCUUACCAAAUCUUGACAUCCUUUGACAACUCUAGAGAUAGAGCCUUCCCCGUUCGGGGGACAAAGUGACAGGUGGUGCAUGGUUGUCGUCAGCUCGUGUCGUGAGAUGUUGGGUUAAGUCCCGCAACGAGCGCAACCCUUAAGCUUAGUUGCCAUCAUUAAGUUGGGCACUCUAAGUUGACUGCCGGUGACAAACCGGAGGAAGGUGGGGAUGACGUCAAAUCAUCAUGCCCCUUAUGAUUUGGGCUACACACGUGCUACAAUGGACAAUACAAAGGGCAGCGAAACCGCGAGGUCAAGCAAAUCCCAUAAAGUUGUUCUCAGUUCGGAUUGUAGUCUGCAACUCGACUACAUGAAGCUGGAAUCGCUAGUAAUCGUAGAUCAGCAUGCUACGGUGAAUACGUUCCCGGGUCUUGUACACACCGCCCGUCACACCACGAGAGUUUGUAACACCCGAAGCCGGUGGAGUAACCUUUUAGGAGCUAGCCGUCGAAGGUGGGACAAAUGAUUGGGGUGAAGUCGUAACAAGGUAGCCGUAUCGGAAGGUGCGGCUGGAUCACCUCCUUU